RNAcentral lists this long non-coding RNA (375 nucleotides) under Mus musculus (house mouse). Its description in RNAcentral is "predicted gene, 39348". Lineage: Eukaryota; Metazoa; Chordata; Mammalia; Rodentia; Muridae. The record is from RNAcentral.
CGAGGAGCCUCAGAAGGGUGUGUGUUGUCUCUCUGUGCAUCCUGCCUGCCACGAGACACGUAUCCCUUACGGGCAUGAAUAUGCAUACAUGUGCAUAAACACAAGCCAGUUCCCACCUCUUUCUCAUAGACGUUAUGGAAGUCCAGGAAGAAACGACUCAUCUCCAGUGACAGAGCUCAGAAGGACGGCUGCCGCUGGAGGUGUUGGCUGGAAGUGGGCCCAAGGGAACCCUCAGGAGUAAUGAAGAUGUUUCAUGUCUUCAUUUGGGGGAUGGGCUCCCACAUUUAUCAAGACUCUUCAAACUCUACAGUGAUGAUCUCCAUCUCUUGCCUGAUGUGAGUCACCUCCAUUAAAAUGAUAAUAGAUGAAAUAAAA